RNAcentral lists this long non-coding RNA (790 nucleotides) under Physcomitrium patens. RNAcentral describes it as "long non-coding RNA (PPAT_LNC009134)". The record is from RNAcentral. Lineage: Eukaryota; Viridiplantae; Streptophyta; Bryopsida; Funariales; Funariaceae.
AAAAUUUUGGAAGAAUCAAGCUUUAUAAGCUAAUCUCUGAAAGGCAAAAGUUUUGGUGAAUUUGAAGACAAUCUGAAUUUUUAGUGAAUUUCUAAGUGAAGAGGGUUGGUCACCGCGGUAGUUUGGAUCAGUCAACUUCAAAGAAGGAAUUCUCACGAUUGGAUCAUUAGAUUGCAACGAGGAUUGUUGGAUCAAAAGCGCCUUCAAGUCAGCCUUGCAACAAGCUUAGAAUCAUUCAAAUUAAAGCUGAUUACAAAUUUUGGAAAAUUUUGGAGUAGAGGGGGGUUGCUACCUUCAAUCCUUAGGUGUUGUCAAGGUACCUUCGCUUUCACCUCUCUCACUUUAUUUUUACUAUCAUCUUCACAGUGAAUCGUAAGCUCCACAUUUCACUUUUUGGCUAAUAAAUUUUAAGUUUAACUUUUAACCUUUAAUAUUCUCACUUUAACUUUUAACUUUAACUUUUAACUUUAACUUGAAUUUUAACUUUUUAAUUGAACUUUUAAUUUUAAAUUUUUACUUAACCUUUAAUCUUAACUUUUUACUUAAUUUUUUUACUUAACCUUUUAAUUUUAACUUUAACUUAAUCUUUUAAUUUUAACUUUUAACUUAACUUUUAACUUAACUUUUAAUUCAAAUUUAAGUUUUAUUCUUAUGGUCAAUUAAUAGUAAUAAUUUAGUUAAUUAUUUUUAUUAUAUUUUCAUAGUAAAUUUCAUUUAACAUGUUAAUUUAAUAUUGGUAACCAUUGCUUGGAAGGCCUAAACUAAUUGAAUUUUUAAUAUAAAGAUUUAA